AUUGAACGCUGGCGGCAUGCUUUACACAUGCCAGUCGAACGGCAGCGCGGACUUCGGCCUGGCGGCGAGUGGCGAACGGGUGAGUAAUACAUCGGAACGUGCCCAGUAGUGGGGGAUAGCUCGGCGAAAGCCGGAUUAAUACCGCAUACGACCUGAGGGUGAAAGCGGGGGAUCUUCGGACCUCGCGCUAUUGGAGCGGCCGAUGGCAGAUUAGCUAGUUGGUGGGGUAAAGGCCUACCAAGGCGACGAUCUGUAGCUGGUCUGAGAGGACGACCAGCCACACUGGGACUGGGACACGGCCCAGACUCCUACGGGAGGCAGCAGUGGGGAAUGUUGGACAAUGGGCGAAAGCCUGAUCCAGCAAUGCCGCGUGUGUGAUGAAGGCCUUCGGGUUGUAAAGCACUUUUGGCGGGAACGAAAAGGACUGUGCCAAUACCACGGUUCGAUGACGGUACCCGCAGAAUAAGCACCGGCUAACUACGUG
RNAcentral lists this ribosomal RNA (484 nucleotides) under uncultured bacterium. RNAcentral's name for it is "partial 16S ribosomal RNA". It matches the Rfam family "Bacterial small subunit ribosomal RNA", at positions 29 to 507 of the family's 1533-position model. The record is from RNAcentral.